GUAUUAUUAUGAAUAUAAAGUUUAAAAUGAAUCGUCCGAACAGUUUUCGAAAAAAAUGUUUAUAAAAAUGACCUCGUGAAACAAAGCCCUCUUGAAUAACAAAAAUACCUAGUAUUUUAAGUAAGCAAUCUCUUAAUUUUAUUUUACAUGAAAAGAGCACAUAUUAAGGAUAAAAGGGAUGACAUUAGCAAAAACAUUAGUGAUCUUGAGAAGUUUUUUUUUCUAAACCGUAUGAAAUGAUUUAUCGAGUACUUACGCAUUGAUUGCGUUGGUGAUCGAUAAGCAGGUAUCGAGCACUGAUCACGUACUAGUCUCUAUCAUUUACGGAGACGCGACACGUUACCGUUUGUUUACGUCAGGUCUCUCAGGCGUAUCUCAUUUCUGAACCAGAUCCGGCUGACCACAGGCCGGCGUCGUUUUUCCGUUUUCUUCUGUUACGUUACACGCGCGUACCGUGUCAACGCCGACGCGGAAUAAGCGAAAAACAAAGGCAGAAGCGGAAAGAAGAGAUCGGGAGCGCGACAAUGUCGAAGAAUGGUGGAGAAAAAUAUAGUAGAGUACAUUUCGUCUCGCCUCUAGUAUCAAGGUUUCCUCGAGUUAUUUAUGCAAAAUCGAAAAGUGUAAUAUGUAAUUUAAUUGCACUAACGCUGUGAUCGCGGUUAUCUUGAAAGGCAACUCAUGGCAAGAGAGAUAAAAAGCAUGUAACAUAAACAAGAACAUAAUAAAAUCUAACUCACGAGUUGAAUAAAUCGGAGAUUGAAUAGGGUGAACAUGCAGUGUGUAGUGUGGCUAAUCUACCGAUGGAACACGCGAAUAUUGAUUUUAAGAUAUCGGUGAGUCAAUAAGAUUGCAGAGUUGACCUAAAGAAAAUACAAUAUAGACGUAUAACAGAAUUGAAGAGUUUCUUACAAAAUCAAAUGUUCUUUUUUUAAUCUGAGUUAUGAUGAAAUUGUUCUCUAUGUCACAUCAUGAACAACUUUGUUUCAACAAAUCAAAUAAAAACGGAAAAUGUAAAUAUAACGUUUUUCAACAAAAAUUAAACAAAUCGAGAUUUUUUUUUGUUUUAUUUUUUUAAAUAAAUUUCUCAACACAUUAAGCAUAAAUUUACAGUGUAAAUCUUUGUUCGUAUAUGUAUUACAUUUUACAGAGAAAUUAAAAAGUUUUUGUUUUUGUGAGAGUAAAAUUUUAUAAAUAAAAAGUGAAAAGAUUAUUUGCUUUUUGUUUUAAAUGUUUUUUUUUUCUUUUAACUGAGUUUCGAAAUAUUAAUUAAAACAAUUACCAACUAUACUUAUUAAAUCCGCAGAAAAGUUAUUUAUACAAAAAAACGAUAAGGUUUUAGUUGUUUAAAAAUGUGAUUUUUAGGUUUGUUGGAUUUUUGGAUAUAGAAAACUCUUCAAUUAAUAUAGAAAUAACAUAAGUGUUGCGAGUAUUAUUACAGAAAUAUCAUAGAAAUAUAAAAAUUACGAUUGCACUGAGAAUAAAAGGGAUCCGACAGAUGCGGCAAGGGCCAAACAUCAUGCGUCGCGUUGAUUCGCGACGCCGCGCGCCUUGCAUCGAAAUCCCCGGAGCCGCCCUCUGUACGAACAUCGGGGAAAGUUUGCUGAAAAGAGAUCGGCUACAAACGGACGAAAGUAUUCCCUUGUGAAAGAAAGCAGAGAUGCAUUUUCGUGAACUAGGAUGCGUCACAUCAGAUUCCACGCGUUGCAUACGCAUUUUUUUUUCGCGCAUGCAACGUCGCCGCGCUCUCUGAGUCAUACCGAUUCUCCGAGUAGAAAAGUUCGUCACUAUUUACACGUAAUCGAUCUGCACGCAUCCCUUACGUAAUCCUAUUACAACGCCUAUAACUCACGUCACGGGGUUUGGGGUUCGAGAUAGCACAACGAUUGCGCAAAUCCUUCAAAUCGAUCGUCUUUUCGCAAUCGAAGAAUUAUCCUGUGAACGGCAGCGCGUACUUAUUCUUUCAUAGCUUGCAUUAUUUCUAUGUUUGUGCGAUAUGAAUAUUAUCAAUGUUUAAUAUAAAAAAAUAAAAUUUUAACAUAAUUUUUUAUAUCUAUUACUUUUUUUCUUUAAUAUUCUCUAAUAGACAUUUAUUUUCUUAUUUUUAUUAUUAUUGAAUAUUGAAACGACCAGGAGAAGCAAAAAAAAAACUUUGAUUUUAAAAUCUUCACCAAUGUGGAUAUUUUGAUACGAAAGCUUUUUCAACAUAUACAUACUUACAUAGUCCCUCUCUAUUCUAUUUUGAAUUUUUCAUGAUAAUGGCAUAAAAACAACUAACGAUAGUUUUUGCUUUAAUUAAAUUUAAAAGAAAACCAUUGAGAGAAGCGUAUCGAGAGGACGUGUAAAAACCCCCGCUUAUCGGUCUCAUUGAAAACGACGCGUGUUUUGCAACACGAACGAUAUAUACGCGUGAUUCACCCUCCCGCUCCAUUCAUUCUUACACCCUUACUACACCCGCGUGGCGGGAAAGCGCGCAGUCGCGUUGGCGGUGAGUACUUUGUUCUCCAAAUUGUUUCGUCGCAGUUCCGACGAGCCUUCGUUCCAGAUUCGCUCUAAUCACGAAGACCUGACUGGACAAAAGUGCAUUACGUGCCGCUGCACGUCAAAGCUUCAAUUUUGCGCGGAGCACUCCCGGCAAACGAAUAUUCUCAAAUAUGCAAUGUGAAAAAAAAAAGUAAAAAUGUAUGAGAAAGGUUUUUUUCUAUUAUUUGAAGAUUGUUUUGAUGUGAAAUCAAUUCUAAUAAUUUUAAUAACAAUCUAAUUUCGCACAGGUCAAAGACGUUGGUGACAAUCAAUAUUAAUCGAUAUUAAUUCAUUUAAACGAAUAAAUUAAGUAAAAUAAGUAUAAGCAAAUUUUAUUUUGACGAAAACUCGAUUUCGUUCGAUUGUCAAACAAGUAGUGGUCAAAGAAUCAAGCGCUGCAUGCAAGAGAAUCAAUGAGAAUAUAAAAAGAGAGAUGCAUUUACAAGGGAUAUUCUUAAUUUUUCAAACGUUCCCGAGACACUUUUCAGAUUUUACACGUACAUUCGACUCUUCUGAGACAUCACGUUCUUCGUCGCGUGCUGAAGUUUCUACUCCAUCCGAGGGAACACACUCUAGAAUUUUUAGAAAACGCGCAGAAACGGUUUACACAGAAAUUUGUAAUAUCAGCGUUGCAUUCACAUCGAGAUCGAUCUGCUGGAGAAAAUAACGACAAUUUGCUGCGUAAGACGCACGUUUUACUCGUGUCUCGCGCGCGUGACAGCGAACCCGCCGCUGAAUUACACAACGGUUUCUCUUGCUUGAGAGGGGGUGAAAACUCGGUUAACCGGAAGUGGCGCGUCGCCGCCGGCCGGAGGUGACACGCGGCGGACGCGCAUCAGCAAGGCGACGCGACACGGCACGGCGCGAUGCGACGACGCUAACGUGACAACGAGCGUAUACCACGGACACGACUGAUCGAGUGACCGAGGGGGUAGCAUCGCGGGGUAUACCCCUCCCCGUCACGCGCGGGAACACGCGCGCGGCCGCUUUAUGUAUAGAGUUACGCGUGUGUCCGGGCGCGGUGUACGUACUACUGUCGUACACCCGGAGGCUCGUCCCCCAUUUCGUUUCGAGAACACGAGGCGGUCGAGGGAAGAGAAGUGCGCGCUGCGACGGAGAGCGUGGCCCGCGUCCUUCUCUCUCCGUCCUACGACUUUCUUUUGGCCCCUCUCUCGUCCUCUCGCUCUAUCCUUUCGCUCCCCUAGCAAGAGCACCCCGCGCGCCCCCCUCCAACCCCCUUCGGCACGCUCUCGCGUGCGUGAAUCAUGCAUAUCGAUUUUCUUUCGUUGGAGUAAGCGAGGGCCGUGCGGUAGUCGCUCACGUAUGCCCGCCACCUUCCCCUUUCCCGUCUCUCUUUCUCUCUUGUCGCCCCCCCUUCCCCCUCUCCCUUUCUUUCUAACGGAGAGCCUGGGGGCCGUGUCGCGUCACGGACGAACCCCCUUCUGAAAACGCAUACGCGCGCAGUACCUGAUUCUUUUCGCACAAUGGCCCGUAUUCCCGUUUUCCUUCUGCCCCCUUGUUCCCUCUCUCUCUUCUUUCUCUUUGCUACCCUUGUCCCCUUCUCGUUACGUCGCACGAAGUCCUCGUCGCUUAUUUCCCCCUCUUUUCCCCUUGCACCUCCGACGCUUUAUCGCUUCUGCAACUCCCCCUCUUCCCGCGACGCUAUUUUGUGUUCCGGUAAAAUCCCCCUAUAGAGAUGCAUACAGAAAUUUGGAAAUGGAAAUCUCCGGGAUUAAUUCUAAACUGUGUAAUUUUACGUCGAUGUUUAAUAUGCUCUUUUAUUAUACAAGUGAUUUUUUUCACAAAUAAGAAAAAUACUUUCCCCAAAAGUCAGUUUUACCGUUACGGUAUCUUUCAUGACAAUUUGUUGUCAUAUUAAGGAAACCCUUCGCACAUUUUUUUACUUCUGCAUGUCGUAUUGAAAGACCAUGCUAGCUCAUCAAGUUCUAGUUAAGAGAGAAGCAGUACAAAGUACGAUGGGGGUUGCCCGUAGCGGAACCACUGAUCGCCCCCCUCGACCGGUCUUUCUUUCCCGAGCAUCCCUUUCUGUUCCCUCCCCCAUCUUCAUGACGGCCCGCCCUCUGCGUGCUUCUACGGCGAGCCCGGUAAUAAACUUCUUUUGUUUUCGAACACUUGUCCAUUCUUUACUUUCGCUUCUUAGUCGACGACAAAGCAAACGCGCCUGAUGAGGCCGAACAAUCGAACCCGUUUUGAAUCGGCGGUCGGCUCUGUGCUUAAAUAAUCUCGAAACCAGAAACAUUCACUUAGCUCCGAUUUAUCGUAGCAUCGGUGCAGACUCAAUUAUUGUUCUAACUUGAGGCAAAAAAGUAGUUUAGAAAUUUGAUGGUGUCACUACUAAAACAUUCUCUUAAAAACUCGAGAAGAUUACUUAGCUUUAAUUUUCGCAACUUUUAAGAGUAAUUUUUAAUUGUACUUGCACAAAUUUUAUCGAUAAUUUCUCUAAAACGAAUUUUCCUAAUUCUCUAUAGAACACAUUUUAUUGUAUAAUACGUAUACAUAAUCAAUGUAAAAAUACAAUGAUUUGAUUAAAAAAAAAAAA
Long non-coding RNA from Monomorium pharaonis (pharaoh ant), 5080 nucleotides. RefSeq lists it as uncharacterized. The record is from RefSeq and is a predicted model, not a curated record. NCBI's taxonomy places the organism in Eukaryota, Metazoa, Arthropoda, Insecta, Hymenoptera, Formicidae. The transcript has 2 exons.